AAGACUAUAGACCUGCGGAGUACCUGCGGAAGGAUCAUUACCGAGUGAGGACCUAACCGGUCCAACCUCCCACCCGUGUCUAUCGUACCUUGUUGCUUCGGCGGGCCCGCCAUUCGUGGCCGCCGGGGGGCAUCUCGCCCCCGGGCCCGCGCCCGCCGGAGACACCAACACGAACACUGUCUGAAGGUUGCAGUCUGAGUCGAUUUAUUUAAUCGUUAAAACUUUUAACAACGGAUCUCU
This 240-nucleotide unclassified non-coding RNA is filed under the name soil metagenome. Its description in RNAcentral is "partial contains 5.8S ribosomal RNA, internal transcribed spacer 2, and large subunit ribosomal RNA". The record is from RNAcentral.